Molecule: non-coding RNA, 75 nt
Organism: Myotis lucifugus (little brown bat)
Lineage: Eukaryota; Metazoa; Chordata; Mammalia; Chiroptera; Vespertilionidae
Source: Rfam
GGCAGUUCUCGGGUGACGCACCCCUGAAUUGGACUCCCUCCUCUCUGGUUCCGGGUGCAUCACCCAAGAACCGCA